GGCAAUCUACGAAAGGGGGGUAAGUUCCACUAAGUGAUUUAAACGUGAUUCGAUUCCCUCUGUCCAGGUGCUCUUUGGCUUCAAUGGGACGUGGAUCAGGAAAUUAUUUCUAGGUGUUUAUAUGAGGGAAAAGGAAAAGCUGCUGAGAGUUCAACUUUUGGACACUCCAACAACGUCUGAAAUAUCAAAAACUAUCCUUCCAAAAGAAAACUAUCAACUCUUUUGACUGUGUUUGGAAUCUUUGAAGCUUUAGCCAAAGAUGAGAUAAAUGUGAAAGAAUGGAUUGGACUUGGGGGAGGAGGAGGAAUGAAGCAGGGAAGAGAGCUCUUUUCAGUUUAUCUAAAAUUCACUGCGGAGCAGAGGGGAGAGUUUUUCACACUGCUGGCGUUUUGUUGGAGCACGACGAUAUGAAUCACAGAUGGCUUCCUCGGCAGAUGUGGCCCUGUAGAACUGCAGUGCUGGUUUAUAAGGGGUUUAAUGAAAACCUGGCACCCUUCCAGACUUGAAUCAAUCCUCUGGGGUUCUCGGCUUAUGCACACACAGACCAAUCUGCAAAUGUGCACCCUGUCGAUGGUGUGGGGAAUGCUGGGGUGAAAAGUUUUUACCUGAGAAACAAAGCCAAACCGAUCUGGCCAAGUUCACAGGCGUGGGGCCUGGGAGAUGGAACAGUGGUGUGGAAGGGAAGUUCGUAGGAGGAGAGUGGCUAUAUCUGGAGGAUGUCCAGAUGGCCACUGCCCAGCUGGGGGUGAUCUGGGCUCAGGUAGAAGGAUGGCUUUCCCAGCUGCUUGGAGCUCACAGUAUUUUCUUCCUUGCCACAGGUUAGGAGUAAGCAGGAGCCACAAGUGGGAGAUAAGGAAUAACAAAAUAGUUUCAUUAGUUCAUAGUGUAGAUUGGAACUGGACUUGCCUAUUGUUGCCUCCGCUUGAAAUGGGCCGCUGUUAUUUCUCAUCUAUUUCAUUUUGCCAUCAAUUGUCAUUCCUUGGCGAAGACUUCCUUGAUCACUUUCCUAAAAGAGAGCCUCCAAGCUCUUUGCUAUGUUCUAUCUUAGCUGUGCAUUUAUUUCAUGACAUAUCACAAUUUAUUUGCCUAUUUGCUUGCUGCUUUGGCCCU
Molecule: long non-coding RNA, 1110 nt
Organism: Propithecus coquereli (Coquerel's sifaka)
Lineage: Eukaryota; Metazoa; Chordata; Mammalia; Primates; Indriidae
Exons: 3
Source: RefSeq, a predicted model, not a curated record